Molecule: ribosomal RNA, 139 nt
Filed under: Lejeunea lumbricoides
Lineage: Eukaryota; Viridiplantae; Streptophyta; Jungermanniopsida; Porellales; Lejeuneaceae
Description: partial 5.8S ribosomal RNA
Rfam family: 5.8S ribosomal RNA
About the family: 5.8S ribosomal RNA (5.8S rRNA) is a component of the large subunit of the eukaryotic ribosome.
Source: RNAcentral
AAAAUGACUCUCAGCAACGGAUAUCUUGGCUCUUGCAACGAUGAAGAACGCAGCGAAAUGCGAUACCUAGUGUGAAUUGCAGAAUUCCGCGAAUCAUCGAGUUUUUGAACGCAAGUUGCGCCCGAGGCUCGUCUGAGGG